Molecule: ribosomal RNA, 230 nt
Filed under: Pseudomonas citronellolis
Lineage: Bacteria; Pseudomonadati; Pseudomonadota; Gammaproteobacteria; Pseudomonadales; Pseudomonadaceae
Description: partial 16S ribosomal RNA
Rfam family: Bacterial small subunit ribosomal RNA
Source: RNAcentral
UCUGCAACUCGACUGCGUGAAGUCGGAAUCGCUAGUAAUCGUGAAUCAGAAUGUCACGGUGAAUACGUUCCCGGGCCUUGUACACACCGCCCGUCACACCAUGGGAGUGGGUUGCUCCAGAAGUAGCUAGUCUAACCGCAAGGGGGACGGUUACCACGGAGUGAUUCAUGACUGGGGUGAAGUCGUAACAAGGUAGCCGUAGGGGAACCUGCGGCUGGAUCACCUCCUUA